Molecule: ribosomal RNA, 429 nt
Filed under: bacterium
Lineage: Bacteria
Description: partial 16S ribosomal RNA
Rfam family: Bacterial small subunit ribosomal RNA
Source: RNAcentral
UGGGGAAUCUUCCGCAAUGGACGAAAGUCUGACGGAGCAACGCCGCGUGAGUGAUGACGGCCUUCGGGUUGUAAAGCUCUGUUAAUCGGGACGAAUGGUUCUUGUGCGAAUAGUGCAAGGAUUUGACGGUACCGGAAUAGAAAGCCACGGCUAACUACGUGCCAGCAGCCGCGGUAAUACGUAGGUGGCAAGCGUUGUCCGGAAUUAUUGUGCGUAAAGCGCGCGCAGGCGGAUUGGUCAGUCUGUCUUAAAAGUUCGGGGCUUAACCCCGUGAUGGGAUGGAAACUGCCAAUCUAGAGUAUCGGAGAGGAAAGUGGAAUUCCUAGUGUAGCGGUGAAAUGCGUAGAUAUUAGGAAGAACACCAGUGGCGAAGGCGACUUUCUGGACGAAAACUGACGCUGAGGCGCGAAAGCCAGGGGAGCGAACGGG